This 231-nucleotide long non-coding RNA is filed under the name Pan troglodytes (chimpanzee). RNAcentral describes it as "long non-coding RNA NONPTRT004004". The record is from RNAcentral. Lineage: Eukaryota; Metazoa; Chordata; Mammalia; Primates; Hominidae.
UCACUGGCCAUCAGAGAAAUGCAAAUCAAAACCACAAUGAGAUACCAUCUCACACCAGUUAGAAUGGCAAUCAUUAAACAGUCAGGAAACAAAAGGUGCUGGAGAGGAUGUGGAGAAAUAAGUACACUUUUACACUGUUGGUGGGACUGUAAACUAGUUCAACCAUUGUGGAAGACAGUGUGGCGAUUCCUCAGGGAUCUAGAAUUAGAAAUACCAUUUGACCCAGCCAUC